GCGACCCCAGGAUGGGCGAGGCCACCCGCCGAGUUUAAGCAUAUCAAUAAGCGGAGGAGAAGAAACUUA
This 69-nucleotide ribosomal RNA is filed under the name Maxillaria kellyana. RNAcentral's name for it is "partial 26S ribosomal RNA". It matches the Rfam family "Eukaryotic large subunit ribosomal RNA", at positions 1 to 68 of the family's 3401-position model. Lineage: Eukaryota; Viridiplantae; Streptophyta; Magnoliopsida; Asparagales; Orchidaceae. The record is from RNAcentral.